Long non-coding RNA from Homo sapiens (human), 1285 nucleotides. RefSeq lists it as uncharacterized. NCBI's taxonomy places the organism in Eukaryota, Metazoa, Chordata, Mammalia, Primates, Hominidae. The transcript is spliced from 2 exons. The record is from RefSeq and is a predicted model, not a curated record.
UCUAUAAUAAGCAGGUACUGACACAGUGGGCAGCAGAGAGCUGGCGCCCUAGACCGCCGGCUUGAGCCCCACAGGUGCUGUUCCCUUGCCUCCCCACCCCCAACUUGGCACACAGUGACAUCAGGACAACACAAUCGCCCCACUACCAGUUACCGGUAUUCCAGUUUAACCCCGUUUCUCUCCCCCCGCCAAUUUUCCUCCCCAUAAUUAACUACGCGCCCACCCUCUCGCCAGCCCCCUCUUCUCCCUAACCAAGAGAAGCCGCUGCUGUCCUAUUCUUGAAACCGCCACGGACCAUUAGUUACAUAUUUGAACCAAUAAGGAAACACUUACCGAGCGCUGCUGUCACUCUCCCUCUCUCCCUCUCUGCCUCUCUCUCUCCCACUCUCUUUCUCGUCUUCCCUCAUUCUGUGCCGCUGCCGAGCCUGUCUCAGCUCCACACACACACACAUAUACUUUAUAUAAAUUCAAAAAUAAAAAUAAUUAUAAUCAUCCAAAAGCCAAACAAAAUUAAGGAGAGUUGCAAGAAGGGGGCAGGAGGAAGAGCCUGGGAGAGAGGAGGGGCGGAGGCAUCUGCAGCUCCCAAGCUCAACUCCUGCUCCUGCAUUCCUCCUGCCCCUUGGGGGCCAGAGGGUCGGGAAGGAAGAGAGAGAUGCCCUCAACUUCUGUCUCUCCCCUCCCAUCCCCACCCUCCCCAGCUGCCCCCAGCUUCGGCAACUCCACCUGGGAGGAAAAAAAAUUAAAUGGGGGAAAAAUAAUUAUUAAUCAGAUUAAUUUAAAAAAAAUACUGCUAAUGAAGGGAGCGCCCAGGGCAGGUUUCCCUGGCAAUGGUUAGGCUCUUACAGGGAGGACUGUUCUGCGGAGCGCUCGGAACGGACAAACCACAAUAAAAAGUUCACGUUCAUGGAUGGAAUCCACAUGACUUCUUGUGGCCAAUCCAACUUUAAGAGAACAACAUCCCCUCUAUGCCGUACCCCUGAAAGCUCCUACUCCACCCUAGACAGGAACAGUAGUGGAAGACCACUGGCAGCCACCCAACCAAACCUGACCUGGAGUGGUCUGAAGAACCUAGGGGACUAGACCUACCCUGGGCAAUCCUGCAGUGCAGCAGGAGAGGUGAGAAUUGGGGUCAACUUCUAGGACCCUCAAAACGACCCACAUCCCCGGGGUCCCUUUCUUAGAGAGAAUGACAUUUUCCCCCAAGACCAUCCCUAGUUUCCCUUCCCAGUUCAAAUGGUGGCUUAUUUGAAAUCUUUUUACAAUUAAAAAUAAAAUUAAAGCCCAA